Molecule: ribosomal RNA, 497 nt
Filed under: uncultured bacterium
Lineage: Bacteria
Description: partial 16S ribosomal RNA
Rfam family: Bacterial small subunit ribosomal RNA
Source: RNAcentral
GAUGAACGCUGGCGGCGUGCCUAAUACAUGCAAGUCGAGCGAACAGACGAGGAGCUUGCUCCUCUGACGUUAGCGGCGGACGGGUGAGUAACACGUGGAUAACCUACCUAUAAGACUGGUAUAACUUCGGGAAACCGGAGCUAAUACCGGAUAAUAUAUUGAACCGCAUGGUUCAAUAGUGAAAGACGGUUUUGCUUUCACUUAUAGAUGGAUCCGCGCCGCAUUAGCUAGUUGGUAAGGUAACGGCUUACCAAGGCAACGAUGCGUAGCCGACCUGAGAGGGUGAUCGGCCACACUGGAACUGAGACACGGUCCAGAAUCCUACGGGAGGCAGCAGUAGGGAAUCUUCCGCAAUGGGCGAAAGCCUGACGGAGCAACGCCGCGUGAGUGAUGAAGGUCUUCGGAUCGUAAAACUCUGUUAUUAGGGAAGAACAAAUGUGUAAGUAACUAUGCACGUCUUGACGGUACCUAAUCAGAAAGCCACGGCUAACUACGUG